UACGUAGGUCCCGAGCGUUGUCCGGAUUUAUUGGGCGUAAAGCGAGCGCAGGUGGUUUAUUAAGUCUGGUGUAAAAGGCAGUGGCUCAACCAUUGUAUGCAUUGGAAACUGGUAGACUUGAGUGCAGGAGAGGAGAGUGGAAUUCCAUGUGUAGCGGUGAAAUGCGUAGAUAUAUGGAGGAACACCGGUGGCGAAAGCGGCUCUCCGGCCUGUAACUGACACUGAGGCUCGAAAGCGUGGGGAGCAGACAGG
RNAcentral lists this ribosomal RNA (252 nucleotides) under uncultured bacterium. RNAcentral's name for it is "partial 16S ribosomal RNA". It matches the Rfam family "Bacterial small subunit ribosomal RNA", at positions 524 to 776 of the family's 1533-position model. The record is from RNAcentral.